CUCUAACAGGGCGGGCAGGUUGAACAGUGCCAUUUCAGUCCCCGAAAAGCUUUCAAAUUUCCUUUGCAACCCUGCACCAAAAGUGCCGGUCAGUGCAGCCAGCCGGCAGACCUGAGACUGGUGAUACAGCAGUUUCACAGCGCUCUGCCAGAUUCAUCCCGCUCCAAACAUAUUCAUAGCAGUCUCAUGGAAGUCCCAGGACUGCUUUGGCAGCAAUUGUGCAGGAUAAAUAAAGCUCCCAUUGUUGCAGAUGACUGCUUUCAAUUGCACGGGAAUCCAGGACAGCAGGGACUUCUGGCUGAUAAAGGAUGA
This 312-nucleotide long non-coding RNA is filed under the name Falco tinnunculus (common kestrel). RNAcentral describes it as "lncRNA (ENSFTIG00000013664.1)". The record is from RNAcentral. Lineage: Eukaryota; Metazoa; Chordata; Aves; Falconiformes; Falconidae.